Molecule: long non-coding RNA, 1522 nt
Organism: Homo sapiens (human)
Lineage: Eukaryota; Metazoa; Chordata; Mammalia; Primates; Hominidae
Gene: ERVK13-1
Product: endogenous retrovirus group K13 member 1
Source: Ensembl
GAGUAGCUGGGAUUACAGGCGUGUGCCACCAUGCCCGGCUAAUUUUUGUGUUUUUAGUAGAGACCGGGGAAGGUAUGGGCCCUCUUUUGAGAAAAAUGCAGAGUGACACUGAAUUUUGUAACUACAUCAGGAGGCUCUUGAACCUUCUGCAGCUCACUCGUGGAGUUUGUAGAGAUGCGUAAUAAUCCGAAGUGUUAAGGAAGAAGGUUCUGUUGAGAAAAAGUUGGAGGGCUGAAAGGGAUGCCUUUCGCUAUUUCGACAUGUGUGGCUGUACCCCAGAGUGCCCUGGCUAACACGCAAAACCAUGAAUUAGGCGGCUUGGCGAGGCUCAGUGGAGGCUGGGGCCGAGAGUCAUGUCAAAGUUUGUGGGGUUAACCUGCACCCAGUGACAGUCAUGGCGAAGUUUGUGAGGUUAACUCGCACCCAGUAACGCUGUUCCAAUGCAAGGUGUGUAUUUGGUGUCAUCCACGGGAAGAGGAAACAGCAAAUUUUCUCAUGGCCUUGGCAGUUCCACAUGAUGGACAUUUCAUAUCUGCAGUUUUCUUCGCAUGAGAUGGCUUUUUUGCACAAAAACACUGGAAUCCAGUGAGCAAGAAUGAUAGAAUGCAAGAUGGAUUUCCACAUGAGGAAGUGUCACGAACAAGCGUUUUGCAUCUCUGUCAGCUGGAUUCCCCCAUGUGUACGUAUGUGAGAACAUGCCGUGUUUCCUGUCUGUAAUGGUAGAGGCAGCCCUGAUACUGGAUUUUCACCUGAGGAUGGAUAGAUCUUCAGGGUUCAAGUGGGUUUGCAUCUGGACUUUAGGGUGGCCCUGUAGGCCCUGUGUGAGAAGCCCCCUUCCCAGUGAACUUUCCCUUGUGUGCCCGCGUGGACAGCCAACAGGGGGAGCAGUGCGAGCGUGAAGGCAGACAGUGGCCUGGCCCAGUCUGAUGAUGGCUGAACUCUGUGACCCCGGGGCCUGUUUCAGCCUCCUGCUGUCAGAAAGCAGCUGUUUGGGAAGAGGCUGUGAUUCGGCCUUGUUUGAGGGCCGAUACUCUGAAUGGGUGAGGCUUGGAAUCCUCCCUUUGGAACAAAGAAACAUAAUGAUUUUGCUGAAGGGAGAGACCCACCGACCCUGUGGGGCUGGUCCCUACAUCUGGCGCUCUGACGUGGGGCUCUCCCUCGCUGUGUGAAGUUGCACCCUGAGUGCGGGAUCAGCGGAGGAGUUCAACGAGAGAUUCCUGAGGAUUGCAGUCUAUAAACUUGGUGGAAAAGAACUACAGCCUGUGUGGGUCCCCUCCCGACAAUUAAAAUUGCACCAUAACUCCAAAGAUGAAACGCUCCCAGAAAGAAAAGGCAAAGACCCAUCGGAAACAAAAGAGCAACUUUCACCGCCUGAUACAUACACUUCAUGACAUCCACAUUGAGACAAAAUCUCGCCGUGUGACCUACAACACCUCUCGUUCAACCCCACCUACUUGGGGUCGAAUACAGAUUUUAUCUCAUCAAACAGAAAAAUUCUUAACAGAAAAAGGAAUCCCAAAAA